CCGAUCUGAGUAUUAGGCUUAAGAAAUUUCACUAGUCGAAAAAUCUUAUUUUUUGUAGUGUGACCGAUUUUUUCAGAGUUCAUCCGCAAACCAUAUAGCAUGGUCUAAUUGUCAAUCAUCUGGGUUUGUUGUCAAACAAAAAUCAAACAAAUUGAAAAUUUAAAAGUUACAAAAUGUGGAAGACCAAGGAUGCAAGCUUUACCUUUGCAGUUGGCAUGGCGAUGUGCAUUGCCGCAGAAGAGCAGGAGGAGGCGGAAAAAAGGACACAAAGGCGGAAAUAUUCGGUGAUCCCGUAUCUCAAGGAACGCUCCUUCAAAGGCCGCUAUGCUUCAGACGUAAUUUUAGAACUUGGUUAACACCCCAUCCAUUUUCUUCCAUAUGCCGGAAAGCAGCUUCAAAGCACUCUUUGGAUCGGUGGAGAAUACCUUAUCCCCAAACGGAACACCCGGCCAGAUGCCAUACCGCUAAAAGCAAAGUUGGCCAUCGUUUUGGAGUAAAUAGAAUAUAUAUACAUAUAUGUUUAGACUUUGAUACCAUUAUUGUAUUUUAAUAUUGUGAUUUAAUAUUCCUUUGUUGGAUUUCUUGCUUCUGGAGAUCUGCAACGCCAUGUUGGAUCCACUUAUUGGAUCAGCAAGCAACAUUUCGGAAUCGUCCUCUACCACGUUUGCACAGCAAUUUCGACUAAGUUGCAAGGGGAAUUUCCGAAGUGGACCACCGAUAACAUGCUGAGGUGGGCGAAAGACUUCAAGGACGAAUGGAACUUUCCAAGCUGUCUUGGUGCCGUCGACGGGAAGCAUGCGGCGAUUUUUUACAAUUAUAAGGGAUUGCGCUUAUGGCAAUUUGCGACGCUUACUACCGGUUCACUUACAUAGAAGCCGGGGCGUUCGGAAGCGAGGGAGACAUGAACGCUUUUUCCCACAGUACGCUUGAAAACCCCUACUUUUGGAUGAGCUACCGUUUCCAGAGGACAAAGUGAUAAACAGGCACCGAACUCCCUACUUCAUAAUCGGCGAUGAUGCGUUUCCCCUUCAUAAGCGCAUUAUGAAGCCAUACAGUGGCAAGGACCUGCAUAGAAGACCUGCACGGUGGAUGGCUGUGCAACGCACUUUGCUGAGUAACCCGAGCAAGUCUCAGAAAGUUAUUGCAGCCUGUUGUGCCCUGCAUAAUUUUUUGAUGCGGAAAAGUCUUACAACUUACACGUUGCACGAAGUACCGAGCAACGUGCUUGUCGACCUGCGAGCCUGCCGACGAGGUCGCCCCCAAGAUUUCAGCAAGGAAGUUCGAAGCAACUUGAUGGAAUAUCUAAACGUUAGUUCUGGGUAUUCUCAAGUACCUUGGCAAGACGAGUCUGCUGGUGUAUGAAGAAAAUAAAAUAAAACAAGGAAG
This is a non-coding RNA of Drosophila suzukii, 1386 nucleotides long. NCBI's taxonomy places the organism in Eukaryota, Metazoa, Arthropoda, Insecta, Diptera, Drosophilidae. The record is from RefSeq and is a predicted model, not a curated record.